This 253-nucleotide ribosomal RNA is filed under the name uncultured bacterium. Its description in RNAcentral is "partial 16S ribosomal RNA". It matches the Rfam family "Bacterial small subunit ribosomal RNA", at positions 524 to 776 of the family's 1533-position model. The record is from RNAcentral.
UACGUAGGGUGCGAGCGUUGUCCGGAAUUAUUGGGCGUAAAGAGCUUGUAGGCGGUCUGUCGCGUCUGCUGUGAAAAUCCGGGGCUCAACCCCGGACUUGCAGUGGGUACGGGCAGACUAGAGUGUGGUAGGGGAGACUGGAAUUCCUGGUGUAGCGGUGAAAUGCGCAGAUAUCAGGAGGAACACCGGUGGCGAAGGCGGGUCUCUGGGCCACUACUGACACUGAGAAGCGAAAGCAUGGGGAGCGAACAGG